GGUUGAUCCUGCCAGUAGUCAUAUGCUUGUCUCAGAGAUUAAGCCAUGCAUGUCUCAGUGUAAACUUUUAAACAGUGAAACUGCGAAUGGCUCAUUAAAACAGUUAUAGUUUAUUUGAUAAUCAUUUUUACAUGGAUAACCGUGGGAAUUCUAGGGCUAAUACAUGCGUAAACCCGCAAGGGUGUGUUUAUUAGAUUACAACCAUCUCAGUGGCAACACUGGUGAAUUGGAAUGAUAAUAACCGAUCGAAUCGCACGCUUAAUGUGGCGAUAAAUCAUUCAAGUUUCUGAC
RNAcentral lists this ribosomal RNA (291 nucleotides) under uncultured eukaryote. Its description in RNAcentral is "partial 18S ribosomal RNA". It matches the Rfam family "Eukaryotic small subunit ribosomal RNA", at positions 6 to 311 of the family's 1831-position model. The record is from RNAcentral.